GAUGAACGCUGGCGGCGUGCCUAAUACAUGCAAGUCGAGCGAACAGACGAGGAGCUUGCUCCUUCGACGUUAGCGGCGGACGGGUGAGUAACACGUAGAUAACCUACCUAUAAGACUGGGAUCACUUCGGGAAACCGGAGCUAAUACCGGAUAAUAUUUCGAACCGCAUUGUUCGAUAGUGAAAGAUGGCUUUGCUAUCACUUAUAGAUGGACCUGCGCCGUAUUAGCUAGUUGGUAAGGUAACGGCUUACCAAGGCAACGAUACGUAGCCGACCUGAGAGGGUGAUCGGCCACACUGGAACUGAGACACGGUCAAGACGACUACGGGAGGCAGCAGUAGGGAAUCUUCCGCAAUGGGCGAAAGCCUGACGGAGCAACGCCGCGUGAGUGAUAAAGGUGUUCGGAGCGUAAAAAUCUGUUAUUAGGGAAGAACAAACGUGUAAGUAACUGUGCACGUCUUGACGGUAACUAAUCAGAAAGCCACGGCUAACUACGUG
Molecule: ribosomal RNA, 497 nt
Filed under: uncultured bacterium
Lineage: Bacteria
Description: partial 16S ribosomal RNA
Rfam family: Bacterial small subunit ribosomal RNA
Source: RNAcentral